Molecule: ribosomal RNA, 907 nt
Filed under: Arthroderma multifidum
Lineage: Eukaryota; Fungi; Ascomycota; Eurotiomycetes; Onygenales; Arthrodermataceae
Description: LSU rRNA
Rfam family: Eukaryotic large subunit ribosomal RNA
Source: RNAcentral
GCAUAUCAAUAAGCGGAGGAAAAGAAACCAACAGGGAUUGCCCCAGUAACGGCGAAGUGAAGCGGCAAAAGCUCCAAAUUUGAAAUCUGGCUCCUUAGGGGUCCGAGUUGUAAUUUGUAGAGGAUGCUUCGGGUGUGGCCACGGCCUAAGUUCCUUGGAACAGGACGUCAUAGAGGGUGAGAAUCCCGUCUUGGGUUGUUGGUCCACGCCCGUGUGAAGCUCCUUCGACGAGUCGAGUUGUUUGGGAAUGCAGCUCUAAGCGGGUGGUAAAUUUCAUCUAAAGCUAAAUAUUGGCCGGAGACCGAUAGCGCACAAGUAGAGUGAUCGAAAGGUUAAAAGCACCUUGAAAAGGGAGUUAAACAGCACGUGAAAUUGUUGAAAGGGAAGCGUUUGCGGCCAGACUCGGGCGUGAGGUUCAGCGGGUGCGUGUCACCCGUGCACUCCUCGCCGCCCGGGCCAGCAUCAGUUCUAACGGCCGGUCAAAGGCCCUCGGAAUGUGUCGUCUCUAGGGACGUCUUAUAGCCGGGGGUGCAAUGCGGCCCGUCGGGACUGAGGAACGCGCUUCGGCUCGGAUGCUGGCAUAAUGGCCGUAAACGGCCCGUCUUGAAACACGGACCAAGGAGUCUAACAUCCACGCGAGUGUUCGGGUGUCAAACCCGUGCGCGCAGUGAAAGCGAACGGAGGUGGGAGCCUUAGGGCGCACCAUCGACCGAUCCUGAAGUCUUCGGAUGGAUUUGAGUAGGAGCGUGGCCGUUGGGACCCGAAAGAUGGUGAACUAUGCCUGAAUAGGGUGAAGCCAGAGGAAACUCUGGUGGAGGCUCGCAGCGGUUCUGACGUGCAAAUCGAUCGUCAAAUUUGGGCAUAGGGGCGAAAGACUAAUCGAACCAUCUAGUAGCUGGUUCUGCGA